RNAcentral lists this ribosomal RNA (269 nucleotides) under uncultured prokaryote. RNAcentral describes it as "partial 16S ribosomal RNA". It matches the Rfam family "Bacterial small subunit ribosomal RNA", at positions 524 to 792 of the family's 1533-position model. The record is from RNAcentral.
UACGGAGGAUCCGAGCGUUAUCCGGAUUUAUUGGGUUUAAAGGGUGCGCAGGCGGGAUGUUAAGUCGGCGGUGAAAUUUUGCAGCUCAACUGUAAAAGUGCCUUCGAUACUGGCUUUCUUGAGUGUGGAUGAAGUAGGCGGAAUUUGUGGUGUAGCGGUGAAAUGCUUAGAUAUCACGAGGAACUCCGAUUGCGCAGGCAGCUUACUAAACCAUAACUGACGCUCAGGCACGAAGGCGUGGGGAUCAAACAGGAUUAGAUACCCCCGUA